GCAGAGAAAGCGAGAGAGUUGGAGCAGAAGCUGCACUGGGAGCUGGGGGUUCCCGCUGAGGCCCUUGGAGAACAAGAAGGUACCAGGGGGUUCAUAAAAAAAAAGAACAGGGGGCCUUCUUCUGAUGGAAGAUCCUGAUCAGCGGUACCCUUCAGCCUCUAUGAUAAGGAGCAUGUUGCCCCAGUAAAAUGAGAGGAUAGAAGGCACCUUGAAAGGAAGAGUCCAAUAAGAGAACAUGAAACGUCUCAAUGGCUAAGUAACCUGAGGAGAGGAAGCACACCAAGAGUCUGCAGAUAGAGUGGAAACUCAGCCUUGAAGAAGUCAUUUUGUGAAUAAAGUAGGCAAAAUGGAGAAAGUUCAUUCCCCUGAAGUGGAAUAGAAAAGUCCCUAGGUCAGAAAUCAGAAGACCUGGUAUUAAAGCCUGAUUCUGUAUCUUCCUAUAUUUUAUAUUUGAGCUUAGGCAAGUCAAUUCCUUUCUCUCAGCCUCCUUUCCUUCAUCUGUAUAAUAAGGAGGUUGGACUAGAAUGAUUUCAAAAAGCCUAUGAUCCCUCCUCCAAGGCUCCAGUUCAAUAACUUGCUCUUCUCUCCAUAUUUUCCAUCUUGGAGUAAGAAGAUUAAGGGGAAGCAAAUGUCUGAUAUAGGAAAUUUCCCAUUCUUCAUCAACACCUCUUAUUCCUUCACUCCUCAUCCCUCCAUUGAAGGACCGAUUCUUUGGAACUCAAUUUUGGAAAGACUCCUAGGGCAGAUCUUUUUUCAAUCUUUCAUUAAAGAUCACCUCUGGGCACUUCCGGUAUGCGAUGCAGUGAGCAGAUGCCUUCAAGCUGAACUCUGACCCUAGUCCCAUUCAUCUUUACAAUAAUAAUGCUAAGUGACAUUAGAACAGCAGGACAAUUACAUCAAACCCAAGAGCACACCCUGAGGAAAGGAAGAAGUGAAAGUGUCUCAUCUACACCUCAAGAAAGAAAGAAAAGCUGAGAGGGAAGGAAGGAAGGAAGGAAAGAAGGAAGGAAGGAAGGAGGGAAGGAAGGAAGGAAGGAGGGAAGGAAGGAAGGAAGGAAGGAAGGAAGGAAGGAAGGAAGGAAGGAAGGAGGGAGGGAGAGAUGGAGGGAGGGAGGAGGGAGGAAGGAAGAAAGGGAGGGGAAUCAAGAAAAGAGAGGGAAAAGAAAGGAAGAGAAAGGGGAGGGGAGAGAAGAAACAAAUUCUAGAAUCAGUUCCUACACCAGGGAGGAUGUGCUCUGGGUGCAGCCUUUCUCCACGUACUCACUGGAAGGAAUAGAUGUAACAGUCCUUUUUAAAAAUGAAAGCAAGUCUAAGUCUUCACCCUCUUGGGAGAAAAGAUUAGCCUCCUGUGAAAAAAUGCCAGCACUUCAUAUAACAUUACCUUCAAGGUUCCUUGCUCACUGCCUUGUGGGUGAGAUGCUCUAUCAUGAAUCCCCCUCAGUAUUUCCUGCUUGAAUAGAAUCCAAGAGAGACCUGUGUGGGUUAUGCCAAAUUACCAAUACUUGUUUACUUGGUAUUAGUGAAAAAUCUCACAGUGGUUGAAGCUACUGUCCCCCUCUGUGUAGGAUCUGCAGUCAUCCAGCAACACCUGGAAUGAGGGGGUGUGUUGUUCGGCAGAAAAGAAGGGGACCCUUAUAGAUUCUCUGAGCUAGCCUGUUCCUUAAGCUUGGGCAAAGGGCUUUCCUUAUGUACACAAAUCCUGCAGCUGCUGCCACUGAAGUUUUCCACUAUGUUCUGUCCUUUAUCUGAGGGUGACUAUGGGUAAGGAAAAGAAUAUGGGAAGGGGAUAAAAGGAACAAAAGAAGAGCUCACUUCUCUUGUUAUUCAGAGAAUAUGUGUUUGUUUUCACAAAGAAGAAAAUCAGAUCCAUCAAAGUCAAAAUUAACAGAGUAAACAGACAGUGUGAACUUCAGACUCUUUUGAAAUGUACACAUUGGGUGACUGUAGGAACACACUAGAAACUAGCUGGCUUUUAUAGUUUUUAGUUAUGCUGGAAUGGGGAGAUGGUGAUCUAAAUGGGAAACAUGAACUGACUAAUGAUGUAUCUGAAUUUGUGCAUUAAAAAUCCAUAAUGUCAUACAUU
Trichosurus vulpecula (common brushtail) is the source of this 2083-nucleotide long non-coding RNA. RefSeq lists it as uncharacterized. The record is from RefSeq and is a predicted model, not a curated record. Lineage: Eukaryota; Metazoa; Chordata; Mammalia; Diprotodontia; Phalangeridae. The transcript is spliced from 2 exons.